CGGAGUGUAGCUCAGCUUGGUAGAGCACUGCCUUCGGGAGGCAGGGGCCGGAGGUUCAAAUCCUCUCACUCCGACCA
RNAcentral lists this transfer RNA (77 nucleotides) under Candidatus Contendibacter odensensis. Its description in RNAcentral is "Candidatus Contendobacter odensis tRNA-Pro". It matches the Rfam family "tRNA". From Rfam's summary of the family: Transfer RNA (tRNA) molecules are approximately 80 nucleotides in length. Their secondary structure includes four short double-helical elements and three loops (D, anti-codon, and T loops). Lineage: Bacteria; Pseudomonadati; Pseudomonadota; Gammaproteobacteria; Candidatus Competibacteraceae. The record is from RNAcentral. RNAcentral also lists the same sequence under 4 other names.